RNAcentral lists this ribosomal RNA (497 nucleotides) under uncultured bacterium. RNAcentral describes it as "bacterial SSU rRNA". It matches the Rfam family "Bacterial small subunit ribosomal RNA", at positions 28 to 536 of the family's 1533-position model. The record is from RNAcentral.
GACGAACGCUGGCGGCGUGCCUGACACAUGCAAGUCGGACGGUUCUUGCACCUUCAAGCUUGCUUGCUGGUGCAAGGAUAGUGGCGGACGGGUGAGUAACGCGUGAACAUCUACCCAUUGGAGGGGGACAACCCGUCGAAAGGCGGGCUAAUACCGCGUAAGCCGCGAGGUGAGAGGCUGCCUAUUGGUGGCCGCCGAUGGAUGGGUUCGCGUCCUAUCAGCUGGUUGGUGGGGUAACGGCCUACCAAGGCGAAGACGGGUAGCCGGUCUGAGAGGAUGGCCGGCCACACUGGAACUGAGACACGGUCCAGACUCCUACGGGAGGCAGCAGUGGGGAAUAUUGGGCAAUGGGGGUAACCCUGACCCAGCGACGCCGCGUGAGGGACGAAGGUUUUCGGAUCGUAAACCUCUGUUGUACGGGAAGAAGGAAUUGACGGUACCGUACGAGAAAGCCCCGGCAAACUACGUGCCAGCAGCCGCGGGUAAGCUAGUCUACG